RNAcentral lists this long non-coding RNA (1299 nucleotides) under Junco hyemalis (dark-eyed junco). RNAcentral describes it as "lncRNA (ENSJHYG00000015802.1)". The record is from RNAcentral. Lineage: Eukaryota; Metazoa; Chordata; Aves; Passeriformes; Passerellidae.
AUGCCUUUCCGCGGCUGCAGCGUGGCGCUGGGAGAGGCAGCGCCUGACCUUGGCCCCGCACCCGCAGGCGUGGGGAACCCGGGAACUCCCGGCCGGGGGCUACACCGCAUUCCCCGGCCGCCGGGGCCCGCCCGUUCCCCCGGCACCGAGGGAGCGGCCUCACGCCCUUCAGGCCAUGCGGGCAACUCCGCGGCCCAAGAAAACGGGCCCCGAACAAGCAACAAAAGCGCCGCGGGGCCGCAGGGACUGCGGUUCCCCGAGCGCGAUGCGCCCGCCCGGGCCGCCGCCUCCGCCCGCUGCCCAGCGCCGAACAAAGCGCGGCCGCACGGCCCGUGCCCGGCCCCCGCCCGCCGUACCUGGUGCCUCUGGGCGCGGACGGCGCUGAACAUAUUGGGAGCCUCCAGAAUGCGGGGGAAGAAGACUCGCAGGCGCAACCCCGGCUGGCCGGGAAGGAGCAGCGGAGGAACAGAGGGAGCGGAGAGCGGAGGGCGCGGAGCUGCCGAUGGAAGGCGGGAGCGCAGUGGUGGUGUUUGCUCCCGCAGCUGAGUGGAGUGCAUGGAGAGAGCUGUCUGACCUGGAUGACACCACCAAAGUGCAAGGACUGGCAUUGCUGACAGAAAUGAAGUUUUCUAGCUCUUGAAUCUGGAGAGAAUAUGGUGAAAAGAAGAUGAGGGCAGUCUGCAUUGAUCAGAAUUUUUGGGGACUUCUGCAAGUGCAGCAUAUGGUGUGUCUCUGAUGCGUGGGAUGAUCACGAUACCUGGGAGGGAGUAAAGAGAGGGAGCUGCAGCAGCAAGCAGAUAAUGUGAAUGCUAUUUAAGGGCAGGUUACAGAAUUACCUGAUUUUUAGCUGAACUGCUUCAACCCAAGUGCUCCCUCAUGAGAUCUGUGUGGGGGUGGAUCUUCAGUGCCUAGCUCUCCCCCUCAGUGCAGGGAGAUAACUGCCUGUGCCUGCUCCUCUUGGAGCCUAGAAGAGCCUAGGGCUCACCAGAAGGGAUCUGGGGGACAGGGAUUGUAUCAGGAAUGCAAGAGCUUUACUUUACUCCCUAGUGCAGCAGGAUUUGCCUUAAUGGGUGGGUGAAAGGAGAGCCGGGGCAGCUGAGGCCGCUCUGUGUGCAUGCUGCCUUUGAAAACAGAGCACGUCACUGCUCCCAGCUCCUGUUUCAUAUUCUGCUGGGAGCUUCUGGUUGCAAUGCUAAUUUCAGCAAAUCUCUGACAAUUUAAGGGGGAGAGGUUUGUGUAAUAUCUGUAGUAUGACCUGUUUCUACUAAGGAAAUCAUCAUAAUUAAAAUACAAGGACAC